Molecule: ribosomal RNA, 266 nt
Filed under: uncultured Chloroflexota bacterium
Lineage: Bacteria; Bacillati; Chloroflexota
Description: uncultured Chloroflexi bacterium partial 16S ribosomal RNA
Rfam family: Bacterial small subunit ribosomal RNA
Source: RNAcentral
CGCAACCCUCGUCGCUAGUGUUUUCUCUAGCGAUACUGCCCGUAUAACGUGGAGGAAGUGGGGAUGACGUCAAGUCAGCAUGGCCUUACAUCCUGGGCUACACACACGCUACAAUGGGUGAUACAACAGGUUGCAAUAGAGUAAUCUGGAAGCCAAUCCCUAAAAUCAUCCUCAGUACGGAUUGCAGGCUGCAACUGCCUGCAUGAAGUUGGAGUUGCUAGUAAACGCAGGUCAAGCACACUGCGUUGAAUACGUUCUCGGGCCUU